Long non-coding RNA from Canis lupus familiaris (dog), 530 nucleotides. RefSeq lists it as uncharacterized. NCBI's taxonomy places the organism in Eukaryota, Metazoa, Chordata, Mammalia, Carnivora, Canidae. The record is from RefSeq and is a predicted model, not a curated record. The transcript has 4 exons.
AAUGUGGAAUUAAUACCAUAUGUACAAGCAUUAAUAGGUAUUGACUUUGAACACUCAGUGAUCAUUUGAGGGUAAAUGAGCUCUCUUCCUUUUCUCACCUCUAAACAUACUGUCUCGGUGAAAUUUAUCUUAUGUUCAUCACAGCAGGUUCUUCUGAAUCUUGGGGGUGAAGUGGGUGUAGUAGUUUUUAUUAAUUAAACAAGUACCCUGCCUGCCUAGUACUUUGCCUGACUGGAGCUAAGAAGCAGAUAUAUCAGAUGCAGAAGCAGGUUAAGCUUGUGUUUGUGGCGUCAAAACAACAUGAUGGACCAGGAACUGGCUCCAGUGCUGGUUUGGGCACAUGUUCAUUGCUUCACUUUGGCAAAUCCCACAGUGUUUUUGUUUCUCUUGGACUUUUUCCUUGGUUCGUGGGCUUUUGAGGGACGUCCAGCUCUACAUACAGACCAAUAUGUCCUGCCCAGCCACCUGCUUUGGAUUCAAGUCAACUCCCAGGGGUUUUGUAACAGAUGUGUAAAAUGUUCCAGGCUACC